This 448-nucleotide ribosomal RNA is filed under the name uncultured soil bacterium. Its description in RNAcentral is "partial 16S ribosomal RNA". The record is from RNAcentral.
UUCGAUUCGGUGUGACAAGGCCCGGGAACGUAUUCACCGCGGCGUGCUGAUCCGCGAUUACUAGCGAUUCCAACUUCAUGGAGUCGAGUUGCAGACUCCAAUCCGAACUGAGAGCGGCUUUUUGGGAUUGGCUCCCCCUCGCGGGUUUGCGACCCUUUGUACCGCCCAUUGUAGCACGUGUGUGGCCCUGGACAUAAGGGCCAUGAUGACUUGACGUCGUCCCCACCUUCCUCCGGCUUAACGCCGGCAGUCUCCCUAGAGUGCCCAACUGAAUGGUGGCAACUAAGGACGAGGGUUGCGCUCGUUGCGGGACUUAACCCAACACCUCACGGCACGAGCUGACGACAGCCAUGCAGCACCUGAACCGGCAGUCCCCGAAGGGAAAAUCCUAUUUCUAGGACGAUCCACCGUUGUCUAGCCCAGGUAAGGUUCUUCGCGUUAAUCACUA